AGGGCGCACGGUGAAUGCCUUGGCACUAGGAGCCGACGAAGGACGGGACGAACACCGAUAUGCCUCGGGGAGCUGUAAGUAAGCUUUGAUCCGGGGAUUUCCGAAUGGGGGAACCCACCAUCCGUAAUGGGAUGGUAUCCAUAUCUGAAUACAUAGGAUAUGAGAAGGCAGACCUGGGGAACUGAAACAUCUAAGUACCCAGAGGAAGAGAAAGCAAAUGCGAUUUCCUGAGUAGCGGCGAGCGAAACGGAAACAGCCCAAACCAAGAAGCUUGCUUCUUGGGGUUGUAGGACACUCUAUACGGAGUCAGAAAAGAACGGGGUAGAUGAAGCGGUCUGGAAAGGCUGGCCAAAGAAGGUAACAGCCCUGUAGUCAAAACUUCGUUCUCUCCAGAGUGGAUCCUGAGUACGGCGGGACACGUGAAACCCCGUCGGAAUCCGGGAGGACCAUCUCCCAAGGCUAAAUACUCCCUAGUGACCGAUAGUGCACCAGUACCGUGAGGGAAAGGUGAAAAGCACCCCGGGAGGGGAGUGAAAGAGAUCCUGAAACCGUGUGCCUACAAGUAGGUGGAGCCCGUUAAUGGGUGACAGCGUGCCUUUUGUAGAAUGAACCGGCGAGUUACGAUUACGUGCAAGGUUAAGCUGAUGAGGCGGAGCCGUAGCGAAAGCGAGUCUGAAUAGGGCGUUUUGGCAAUGGAUACAUUGCCAUAGUACGUGGUCGUAGACCCGAAACCGUGUGAUCUACCCAUGUCCAGGGUGAAGUUCAGGUAACACUGAAUGGAGGCCCGAACCCACGCGUGUUGAAAAACGCGGGGAUGAGGUGUGGGUAGGGGUGAAAUGCCAAUCGAACUCGGAGAUAGCUGGUUCUCCCCGAAAUAGCUUUAGGGCUAGCCUCGAGGGAAGAGUAUUGGAGGUAGAGCACUGAUUGGACUAGGGGCCCCCACAGGCUUCCCGAAUUCAGUCAAACUCCGAAUGCCAAAUGCUUAUCCUCGGGAGUCAGACUGCGAGUGCUAAGAUCCGUAGUCAAGAGGGAAACAGCCCAGACCAUCAGCUAAGGUCCCAAAGUAUACGUUAAGUGGAAAGGAUGUGGAGUUGCACAGACAACCAGGAUGUUGGCUUGGAGGCAGCCACCAUUGAAAGAGGGCGUAGUAGCUCACUGGUCGAGUGACUCUGCGCCGAAAAUGUACCGGGGCUAAACGUAUCACCGAAGCUAUGGAUUGUCCUAACGGACAGCGGUAGGGGAGCGUUCUGCGUGCAGCGAAGUCAGCCCGAGAGGACUGGUGGAGCGCGUAGAAGUGAGAAUGCCGGUAUGAGUAGCGAAAGGAGGGGUGAGAGGCCCCGCCGUCGAAAGCCCAAGGUUUGCUGAGGAAGGCUCGUCCGCUCAGGGUAAGUCGGGACCUAAGCCGAGGCCGAACGGCGGAGGCGCUGGACAACAGGUUGAAAUGCCUGGACCACCUCCUCACCGUUUGAGUAAUGGGGGGACGCAGUAAGGUAGGGUAAGCGCACUGAUGGAUAUGUGCGUCUAAGCAGUUAGGCUGGUGAAUAGGCAAAUCCGUUCACCAUAAAGGCUGAGCUGUGAUAGCGAGGGACAUUAAGUACCGAAGUUCCUGAUCCUACACUGCCGAGAAAAGCCUCUAGCGAGGUGAGAGGUGCCCGUACCGUAAACCGACACAGGUAGGCGAGAAGAGAAUUCUAAGACGCUCGGGAGAACUCUCGUUAAGGAACUCGGCAAAAUGACCCCGUAACUUCGGGAGAAGGGGUGCUCUGAUAGGGUGCAAGCCCGAGAGAGCCGCAGUGAAAAGAUCCAAGCGACUGUUUAGCAAAAACACAGGUCUCUGCGAAGCCGUAAGGCGAAGUAUAGGGGCUGACACCUGCCCGGUGCUGGAAGGUUAAGAGGAGGGGUUAGCCGCAAGGCGAAGCUCUGAAUUGAAGCCCCAGUAAACGGCGGCCGUAACGAUAACGGUCCUAAGGUAGCGAAAUUCCUUGUCGGGUAAGUUCCGACCCGCACGAAUGGUGUAACGAUUUGGAUACCGUCUCAACGAGAGACCCGGUGAAAUUAUAUUACCUGUGAAGAUGCAGGUUACCCGCGACAGGACGGAAAGACCCCAUGGAGCUUUACUGUAGCUUGAUAUUGGAUUUUGGUACAGUUUGUACAGGAUAGGUAGGAGCCGUGGAAGCCGGAGCGCUAGCUUCGGUGGAGGCGUCGGUGGGAUACUCCCCUGACUGUACUGAAAUUCUAACCUCGAGCCGUAAUCCGGUUCAGGGACAGUGUCAGGUGGGCAGUUUGACUGAGGCGGUCGCCUCCUAAACAGUAGCGGAGGCGCCCAAAGGUUCCCUCAGAAUGGUUGGAAAUCAUUCGAAGAGUGCAAAGGCAUAAGGGAGCUUGACUGCGAGACCUACAAGUCGAGCAGGGACGAAAGUCGGGCUUCGUGAUCCGGUGGUUCCGCAUGGAAGGGCCAUCGCUCAACGGAUAAAAGCUACCCUGGGGAUAACAGGCUUAUCUCCCCCAAGAGUCCGCAUCGACGGGGAGGUUUGGCACCUCGCUGUCGGCUCAUCGCAUCCUGGGGCUGAAGUAGGUCCCAAGGGGUGGGCUGUUCGCCCAUUAAAGCGGUACGCGAGCUGGGUUCAGGACGUCGUGAGACAGUUCGGUCCCUAUCCGUCGCGGGCGCAGGAAAUUUGAGAGGAGCUGUCCUUAGUACGAGAGGACCAGGAUGGACACACCGCUGGUGUACCAGUUGUUCCGCCAGGAGCAUAGCUGGGUAGCUACGUGUGGACGGGAUAAGCGCUGAAAGCAUCUAAGCGUGAAGCCCCCCGCAAGAUGAGAUUUCCCAGGGAGUUAAUCCAGUAAGACCCCUUAGAGAUGAUGAGGUUGA
RNAcentral lists this ribosomal RNA (2872 nucleotides) under Alkalihalobacterium alkalicellulosilyticum. RNAcentral describes it as "bacterial LSU rRNA". It matches the Rfam family "Bacterial large subunit ribosomal RNA". Lineage: Bacteria; Bacillati; Bacillota; Bacilli; Caryophanales; Bacillaceae. The record is from RNAcentral.